GGAAACUGAGGAUAAUACUGGAUAGGCAAUUAUUCCUGCAAUGGUUUUUUGUUUAAAUGUUUUUUCGCCUAAGGAUGGGUCUGCGGCCGAUUAGGUAGUUGGUUAGGUAACGGCUUACCAAGCCAUUGAUCGGUACGGGUUGUGAGAGCAAGAGCCCGGAGAUGGAACCUGAGACAAGGUUCCAGGCCCUACGGGGUGCAGCAGGCGCGAAACCUCCGCAAUGUGAGAAAUCGCGACGGGGGGAUCCCAAGUGCCAUUCUUAACGGGAUGGCUUUUCAUUAGUGUAAAGAGCUUUUGGAAUAAGGGCUGGGCAAGACCGGUGCCAGCCGCCGCGGUAACACCGGCAGCUCUAGUGGUAGCAGUUUUUAUUGGGCCUAAAGCGUCCGUAGCCGGUUUAAUAAGUCUCUGGUGAAGUCCUGUAGCUUAACUGUGGGAAUCGCUGGAGAUACUAUUAGACUUGAGACCGGGAGAGGUUAGAGGUACUCCCAGGGUAGAGGUGAAAUUCUGUAAUCCUGGGAGGACCGCCUGUUGCGAAGGCGUCUAACUGGAACGGUUCUGACGGUGAGGGACGAAAGUUAGGGGCGCGAACCGGAUUAGAUACCCGGGUAGUCCUAACCGUAAACGAUGCGGACUUGGUGUUGGGGCGGCUUUGAGCUGCUCCAGUGCCGAAGGGAAGCUGUUAAGUCCGCCGCCUGGGAAGUACGGUCGCAAGACUGAAACUUAA
RNAcentral lists this ribosomal RNA (724 nucleotides) under uncultured archaeon. RNAcentral's name for it is "bacterial SSU rRNA". It matches the Rfam family "Archaeal small subunit ribosomal RNA", at positions 135 to 859 of the family's 1478-position model. The record is from RNAcentral.